CCUACGGGAGGCAGCAGUAGGGAAUUUUCGGCAAUGGGGGGAACCCUGACCGAGCAACGCCGCGUGAAGGAAGAAGGAAUUCGUUCUGUACACUUCUGUUAUAAAGGAAGAAAGACGGAUGUAGGAAAUGACAUCCGAGUGACGGUACUUUAUGAGAAAGCCACGGCUAAAUACGUGCAAGCAGCCGCGUUAAUACGUAGGGGGCAAGCGUUAUCCGGAAUCAUGGGGGGUAAAGAGGGAGCAGGCGGCAGCAAAGGUCUGUGGUGAAAGACUGAAGCUUAAUUUCAUUAAGCAAUAGAAACCAGGCAGCUAGAGUGCAGGAGAGGAACGUGGAAUUCCAUGUGUAGCGGUGAAAUGCGUAGAUAUAUGGAGGAACACCAGUGGCGAAGGCGACGAUCUGGCCUGCAACUGACGCUCAGUCCCGAAAGCGUGGGGAGCAAAUAGGAUUAGAUACCCCAGUAGUC
Molecule: ribosomal RNA, 464 nt
Filed under: uncultured bacterium
Lineage: Bacteria
Description: partial 16S ribosomal RNA
Rfam family: Bacterial small subunit ribosomal RNA
Source: RNAcentral